This 496-nucleotide ribosomal RNA is filed under the name uncultured bacterium. Its description in RNAcentral is "partial 16S ribosomal RNA". It matches the Rfam family "Bacterial small subunit ribosomal RNA", at positions 29 to 507 of the family's 1533-position model. The record is from RNAcentral.
AUGAACGCUGGCGGCGUGCCUAAUACAUGCAAGUCGAGCGAACGGACGAGAAGCUUGCUUCUCUGAUGUUAGCGGCGGACGGGUGAGUAACACGUGGAUAACCUCCCUAUAAGACUGGGAUAACUUCGGGAAACCGGAGCUAAUACCGGAUAAUAUUUUGAACCGCAUGGUUCAAAAGUGAAAGACGGUCUUGCUGUCACUUAUAGAUGGAUCCGCGCUGCAUUAGUUAGUUGGUAAGGUAACGGCUUACCAAGGCAACGAUGCAUAGCCGACCUGAGAGGCUGAUAGGCCACACUAGAACUGAGACACGGUCCAGACUACUACGGGAGGCAGCAGUCGGGAAUCUUACGCAAUGGGCGAAAGCCUGACGGAGCAACGCCACGUGAGUGAUGAAGGUCUUCGGAUCGUAAAGCUCUGUUAUUAGGGAAGAACAUAUGUGUAAGUAAAUGUGCACAUCUUGACGGUACCUAAUCAGAAAGCCACGGCUAACUACGUG